Molecule: ribosomal RNA, 198 nt
Filed under: uncultured bacterium
Lineage: Bacteria
Description: partial 16S ribosomal RNA
Rfam family: Bacterial small subunit ribosomal RNA
Source: RNAcentral
ACGCUCGACACCUACGGGAGGCAGCAGUGGGGAAUAUUGCACAAUGGGGGAAACCCUGAUGCAGCGACGCCGCGUGAGCGAAGAAGUAUUUCGGUAUGUAAAGCUCUAUCAGCAGGGAAGAAACUGACGGUACCUGACUAAGAAGCACCGGCUAAAUACGNGCCAGCAGCCGCGGUAAUCUGAGCGGGCUGGCAAGGC